RNA transcript from Pongo pygmaeus (Bornean orangutan), 7976 nucleotides. It is a transcript of the gene named zinc finger protein 345, with no coding region annotated. NCBI's taxonomy places the organism in Eukaryota, Metazoa, Chordata, Mammalia, Primates, Hominidae. The transcript is spliced from 4 exons. The record is from RefSeq and is a predicted model, not a curated record.
GGAUCUUCCCGCGGGUUUGGGCAAGCGGCCUUGGGGCUUUGUGAGAUAGCUAGGGUCGACUUGCUUGGAUUCCAGUAGAGCGGAGCUGACCCUAUCCGAGCAGGCCCCUGCCCUGCUUGGAUAGAGGCCUCCGGACAGAAGUAAAGAAUGGCUGUUGAACAUCCACAAGGCACCUGCAAGACUAUGAAUCAAAGUUGAGACCAAGAAAUUAUUUCUGAAAAAGGAUAUGGAAAACCUUACAAAACACAGCAUUGAGUGUUCAAGUUUCAGAGAUCCCCACAGGCGCUGCCUGAGACCCAGCUCUGUGUCUCCUCAUCGUACAGCUUGCGGAGCUCCACCUGCAAGGCCAUCAGCAUGCCCAGGCAGGGGUUAAGCUGGAGGGCCAUGGAGGAGGACAGGCCAGCAGGAUGCCACCUCUGCUCCAGGGCAUGCACCAUGUGUGAGAGAUUCUAAUUAUAUACACGUUCAUAAACAUAUACUCACAUGCACAGAGUAUGAUACUGUAUGUUUUGCAAUUUGUAGACAAUUGUCAGACCUACAUGAAAGGACUAUUAAGAAUAAUAAAUGUGUUGAAAGGUUUAAAUGGCGGGGGUGGGUGGAGUUCAGUGACUGUGCAAUGGUAUACUGGCAAAUCACCAGCCUCCAACAAAUCUAAUAUGCUGAACACAACUGGUGGGAAGAGUAGACAGGUACAUCUCUUCUGUACAUACAGCAUGAUAUGGGUUAGGGACUCACUGAAAAUAAUUUGCUCUGGAAUUCUGUGAUGUUGACCUUGGGAGAAAGAAAUGAAUAAUUCAAGUCAGCAGUGACUGAGAAGGAAGGCGGCUCAAGUUUGAGACACAAGAGAGUUAAGAUAGGAUGAAAUGUACUCUAUGAGAAGAAUGGAACUCCAUGUCAACAUAUAGUGAGCCCCAGUUCUAUGCUUUAAGGCGACCUCUGAGCCCUCUUUUCCUUAUUAAAAUGGGACUGACACUUAACUUAUGAUUGCUAAAAAGAUGAGGAAUAACGUAUAUAAAUAAUCUGAUAUAAAGUAAGCACUCAGUAUUGGUAGCUAUUAUUAUGAAAAAAUGUCAUAGCAAAAACAGAUAUUGGGCAAAUGAAAUGGCUUGAAGACAUCAAAAUAAAAGCCAGCUAGACUAUCUUAAGUCUUCCCUCCACACAAUCAUUGGCCAAACUUAGUCUGGGUGAGUCCCUAAAAAUCUCUUAAAGUUGUCCUCAUUUAAUUAUCGAAUCCCCUCUUUCCUAGACCACUACAGGAAUCUCCUAAUGGUCUCCCCAAUAUGUUUCAGCACCCUCUAAUCCAUUCAGCACCUGGUGUGGUAUUUGGUCUCACUUUGCCCUCCUGAAAAUCUAAACUCCUUGGUAAUUACCAAGAAGACUCCAAUAAUGAGGCUCUUGCCUACCUCUCCAACCUUGUGUUAUACUCCACUUCCACUUGCUCAAGAAGCCCCAGUCCUUCAAGCACCUCAAGUUCUCCCUGCCCCUCAGGGCCUUCCCACAUGGAUCUCCCCUUUGCCUGGCAUACCCCUCAUCCUAUCACCAUUGUUGGGCCUGCUAACAAUGAGAAAAGCCUCAUCACAGCUUCCACUAACAACCAAGCCCUAAGCCACUGAGGAACUUGCAGACACUGCUGACACUGAUUGCAGCCAGAGAAAUCAUAUGGAGAUUAUACCACUGCAUCCACCUAUAACAAAGCCAAAGCAACCUACCCAACCAACACUAUCAAUACAUCUACAGGAAAAAGGUUUUCCUUAUGAAAACAAACCCAUAAAAUUGGAAAAAAUGACCAUAACAAGAAAUACACAGAUAUCAAUGUAAGGAUAAAAGGAACAUGAAAAAGCAUGGAAGCAUGACAUCUCCAAAGUAACACAAUAAUGCUCCAGCAACAGAUUCCAACAAACAAGAAAUCUAUCAAGUGCCUGAAAAAGAAUUCAAAAUAAUGAUAUUAAAGAAGCUCAGUGGGAAACAAUAGAACAUGGAUAAAAACCAAAAGAAUCAGAAAAAACAAUUCAUGAUCUGAAUGAGAAAUUCAGCAGAUAUCAUGAAAAAGAACCAAACAGAAGUCCUGAAACUGACAAAUUUCAAUGAAUGAAAUAAAAAACACAAUUGAGAGCUUCAACAAUAGACUAGAUCAAGCAGAAGAAAGAAUUUCUGAACUUGAAGACAGGGUUUUUUAAAAGAAUCCAGGAAGAAAAAGUAAAAAAUAAUAAUCUUUAAAACUGAAGAAAGCUUAGGUGACAUAUAGGACAUCAUAAAGCAACCAAAUAUUCAAAUUUUGGGUAUUCUAGGAGAAGAGAUGGGCAAAGGCAUAAAAACCUAUUUAACAAAAUAAUAACUGAAAACUUUCCAAGUCUUGUAAGCAAUAUAGACAUCCUGAUACAGAAGGCUCAAUGAUGCCCAAAUAGAUUCAAUCCAAAAAGGUUUUCCAAGGCCCAUUACAGUCAAACUGUCAAAAGUCAAAGACAGAGAAUUCUAAAAAAAGCAAGAGAAAGGCAUCAAGUCACAUAUAAGGGAACCCUCAGGCAUCAAGUCACAUACAAGGGAACCCUCAUCAGACUAGCAGCAGAUACCUUGGCAGAAACCUUCCAUGCCAGGAAAGAAUGGGAUGAUAUAGUCAAAGUGCUAAAAGAAAAAAACACUGUCAGCCCAGAAUACUAUACCUAGCAAAGCCAUCCUUCAAAAAUGAAGGAGAAAGUUUUUCCCAGAGAAAAUGUAUCACAACUAGGGUGGCCCUAUCAAAAGUGGCAAAGGGUGUCCUACAUCUGGAAGUGAAAGACAUAUCUACCAUCAUUAAACAAAUGAAAAUAUCUACCAUAUCUACCAUCAUUAAACAAAUGAAAAUAAGAAGCUCACUGGUAGAGCAGAUAUACAAAUGGAAAGAAAAAGGACUCAGAUGUAACCAUUACAUAAAACCACCAAAUGAUAAGAGAAAAGAAAAAGGAUAUAAAACAACCAUAAAAAAUUAACAGAUUAGGAAUAAAUCCUCACCUAUUAAUAAUAACCUUGAAUAUAAACAGUCAAAUUCCCCACUUAAAAGGUACAGUCCGGUUGAAUGGAUAAAAUAAAUAUGACUCACCUAUAUACUGGCUGUGAGAAACUCACUUUAUAUAUAAAAUCAUAGACUGAAAGUGAAGGGAUGAAAAAAAAAAUACUGCACACAAACAGAAACCAAAAGCAAGUGAGAGUAGCCAUACUUAAAUAAAACAGACAUUAAAUAAAAAACUGCAAAAGAAGCAAAGAAGGUCAUUAUGUAAUGAUAAAGGGGUCAAUUCAGCCAGAGCAUAUAAAGUUCUAAAUUUAUAGGCACCCAACACUGCAGCACCCAGAUAUAUAAGCAAAUAUUAUUAGACCUAAAAAGAGAGAUAGGGCUGGGCGUGGUGGCUCAUGCCUGUAAUCCCAACACUUUGGGAGGCCAAGGCGGGAGGAUCACUUGAGGUCAGGAGUUCGAGACCAGCCUUCCCAACACGACGAAACCCUGUCUCUACUAAAAAUACAAAAAUUAGCUGGGCGUGGCCAGGCGUAGUGGCUCAUGCCUGUAAUCCCAGCACUUUGAGAGGCCGAGGCAGACAGAUCACGAGGUCAGGAGAUUGAGACCAUCCUGGCUAACAUGGUGAAACCUCGUCUCUACUAAAAAUACAAAAAAUUAGCCAGGCAUGGUGGCAGGCACCUGUAGUCCCACCUACUCAGGAGGCUCAGGCAGGAGAAUGGUGUGAACCUGGGAGGCAGAGCCUGAAGUGAGCUGGGUUCGCACCACUGCACUGCAGCUUGGAUGACAGCGCAAGACUGUCAAAAAAAAAAAAAAAAAGAAAAAAAAAUUAGCUGGGCGUGGUGGCAGGCACCUGUAAUACAAGCUACUCAGGAGGCUGAGGCAGGAGAAUUGCUUGAACCUGGGAGGCAGAGGUUGCAGUGAGCCAAUAUUGUGCCACUGCACUCCAGCCUGGGUGACAGAGCUAGACUCUGUCUCAAAAAAACAACAACAAAAAAAGAUAGACUCCCAUAAAAUAAUAGUACAGGACUUCAACAUCCCACUCUCAGCAUUAGACAGUUCAUCUAGAUAGAAAAUCAACAGCUUUGGAUUUAAACUAGACAUUAGACCAAAUGGACCUACCAGACACUAACUGAACAUUUUAUCCAACAGCUGCAGAAUACACAUUGUUCCCAUCAGCACAUGGAACAUCCUCCAGGAAGAGACCAUACGUUAGGCCAUAAGACAAGUUAUAACUAAUUUUUAAAAAUAGAAAUCAUAUCAAGUAUCUUCUCAGACUACACUAGAAUAAAACUAGAAAUCAAUAACAAAAACUUUGUAAACCACACAAAUAAAUGGAAAUUUAAACAAUGUGUUUGCUCAUGAAUGCCCAUUGGGUCAAUUAAGAAAUUAAAGAUCAUCAAAGCAACUACAAGCAACUAUAUGCUAACAAAUCAGAUAACCUAGAGGAAACAGAAAAAUUCCUGGAUACAUGAAAACCUACCAAGACUGAACCAGGAAGAAACAGAGCAGAAGAACCUGAGCAGACCAAUAACGAGUAAUGAGAUUGAAGCAGUAGUAAAAUGUCUCCCAACAAAGAAAAGCCCAAGACUAAAUGGCUUUACUGCUGAAUCCUACCAAAAUUACAAAUAACUAACCUCAAUUUUUCUCAAACUAUUCCAAAAAAUGGAAGAGAAGUUAAUUCUUCCUAAUCCAUUCUACAAGGCCAGCAUUACCCUGAUACCAAAACCAGAGAGGGACACAACAACAACAACAAAAAAGAGGUGAUAUCUCUCAUGAACAUAGACACAAAACCCCUCAAUGAAAUACUAGCAAAUGAAAUCCAAUAAUACAACAACAAGAUAAUAUACAACGAUUAAGUGAGAUUUUUCCUGAAAAGUGCAAGGAUGGCUCAACAUAAGCAAAUCAAUAAACAUGAUGUAUCAGAUCAACAGGAUGAGGGACAAAAACCAUAUGAUCAGCUCAAUAGAUGCAGAGAAAGCAUCUGAUAAAGUUCAACAUCUCUUCAUUAUAAAAACCUCUCAACAAUUAGGCAUUAAAAAAACAUACCUUAACAUAAUAAAGACUAUAUAUGACAAAUGUACAGCUAACAUCAUACUGAAUGGGGAAAAGCUGAAAGCCUUUCCUCUAAGAACUGGAACAAGACAAAGAAGCCCACAUUCACCACUAUUAUUCAAUAUAGUACUGGAAGUCCUAUCCAGAGCAAUCAGGCAAGAGAAAGAAAUAAAAGGCAUCCAGAUUGGAUAAUAGAAAGUCACAUUGUCCCUUUACAGAUGACAUGAUCUUACAUAUAUUUAAAAACCUAAAGAUGCCACCAGAAAUUCUUGGAACUGAUCAAUGAAAUCAGUAAAGUUGCAAGAUACAAAAUCAAUAUACAAAAACAAGUAGUACGCUGGGCACGGUGGCUCACGCCUAUAAUCCCAGCACUUUGGAAGGCCGAGGUGGGUGGAUUACUUGAGGUCACGAGUUUGAGACCAGCCUGGCCAACAUGGUGAAACCUUGUCUUGACUAAAAAUACAAAAAUUGGCCAGGUGUGGUGGCAGGCACCUGUGGUCCCACCUACGCGGGAGGCUGAGGCAGAACUGCUUGAACCCAGGAGGUGGAGGCUGCAGAGAGCUGAGAUCAUGCCAUUGCACUCCAGCCUGGGAGACAGAGUGAAACUCUGUCUCAAAAAGAAAAAAAAAAAAGGAUUUCUGUACAUCCACAAUAAUGAAUUAGCUGAAAAAGAAAUCAAGAAAACAAUCCCAUUUAUUAAUAUAACAGCUACAAAAAACAACCUAGAAAUAAAUUUAACCAUGAAGUGAAAGACCUCUACAAGGAAAACUACAAAACACCGACAAAAGAAACUGAAGACAACACAAACAAAUAAAAAGAGAUUUGCAUGCUUAUGCACUGGAAGAACUAUUGUUAAAAUGAACAUACUUCCCAAAGCAAUCUACAGAUUCAAUGCAAUCUACAGAUUCAGUGCAAUCCCUACUGAAAUACCAGUCAGUUUUUACAUGAACAGGAAAAAAAUCCUAAAAUUUGUAGGAAACCAUAAAAGAUGCCAAAUAGCCAAUGCAAUCUGUAGCAAAAGAACACAAGUGGAAGAAUCAAACUUCAAAAUAUACUACAAAGCUGUCGUAACCAAAACAGCAUGGUACUGCCAUAAAAAUAGACCCAAGGACCAAUGGAACAGAAGAGAGAACCCACAAAUAAAUCCAUGUAUUUAUAGUCAACUGAUGGUUGACAAAAGUGCCAAGAACAGACAUUGGGAAAAGGACAUGCUGUUCAAUAAAUGGUGCUGGGAAAACUGGUUAUCCAUAUAGUGAAGAAUGAAACUAGACUGUAUCUCUCACCAUAUACAAAAAUAAACUCAAAAUGAAUUAAAUACUUAACUAUAAGACCCCAAAUUAUAAAACUACUAGAGGAAAACAUAGGGGAAACACUUCAGAAGAAUAGGCAAAUAUAUUUUAGAUAAGACCUCAAAGAUAUUUUCAAUAAGGGGCAACAACAAAAAAAUAGACAAAUUGGACUAUAUUGAACUAAAAUCCUUCUGCACAGCAAAGGAAACAAUCAACAGAGUGAAGAGACCUGUAGAAUGGGAGAAAAUAUUUGCAAACUCUUCACCUGAGAAGGGACUAAUAUCCAGAAUUAACAAGGAAGCAAAAAAACUUAAUAGCAGUGCCAUAGCGGCUCAUAACUGUAAUCCCAGCACAUUGGGAGGCCGAGUCAGGAGGAUCACUUGAGGCCAGGAGUUCAAGACCAACCUGGGGCACAUAGGGAGACCCCCCCCAUCUCUAUAAACAGUUUUAAAAUUAGCUAGGUAUAGUGGCAUGCACCUGCAGUCUUAGCUACUUAGGAGGCUGAGGUGGUAGAAUCACUUGAGCCUGGGAAUUCAAGGAUGCGGUGAGCUGUGAUCAUGCCACUGCACUCCAGUCUGGCUGACAGUGAAACUCUCUCACAUACACAAAAAAUGACACUGGGCACAUUCUAUUAGUAAAAGAAAAAAAUACAUACAUAUAUAUAUAUAUAUAUGUAUAAAACAAUUGAUAAAUAUUCAAAGUGAUGGGUAUCUAAAUACCUUGAUUUGAUCCUUAUACAUUGUAUGAAUAUAUCAAUAUAUUGCUUGUACUCUAUAAAUAUGUAUAAUUUGUAUCGAUAAAAACUAAAAAAAAAGCUCAUGAGAAAUCUAAUGUAUGGCAGGAGGACUAUAGUUAGUAAUACUCUAUUGUAUACUAGAAAUUUGUCAGGAAAGUAGGUUUUAAGUACUCUUACCCUAAACAAAGAAAGAAGAAAAGAUUACAGUUAUUUGAUACGAUCUGCUUAACUAUAGUAAUUAUUUCAAUAUGCAUGUGUAUCAAAACAUGUUGUACACCUAGAAUUUAUACAAUAAUUUUUAAAAAAAGGUUCAUAUAAAAAAAUUUUUUUAAACACAUAUAAAAAUAGAAAGAAUGAGUAACACUUAGUAUUUGCUAGCAAAACAGGGUGACUGUAGUCAAAAAUAAUUUAAUUGAACAUUUAAAAAUAACUAAGAGGCCGGGCGUGGUGGCUCAUGUCUGUAAUCCCAGCACUUUGGGAGGCCAAGGUGGGUGGAUCACUUGAGGUCCGGAGUUUGAGACCAGCCUGGCCAACAUGGUAAAACUCUGUCUCUACUAAAAACACACACACACACACACACACAAAUUAGCUGGGCAUGGUGGUACGUGCCUGUAGUCCCAACUACUUGGGAGGCUGAGGCACGAGAAUCACUUGAACCUGGGAGGCAGAAGUUGCAGUGAGCAGAGAUCACAGCACUGCAGCACUGCCCUUCAGCCUGGGUGACAGAGUGAGACUCUGUCUAAAAAAAACAAAACAAAACAAAACAAAAUCCCCUAAAAACUAAAAGAGUACAAUAAGAUUGUAACACAAAGGAUAAAUGCUUCAGGUGAUAGAUAUCCCAUUUCUCCCGAUAUAAGCAUUGCAUGCCUGUAUCAAAAUAUCUCAUGUAACCCAUAAAUAUACAUACCUG